Molecule: ribosomal RNA, 461 nt
Filed under: uncultured bacterium
Lineage: Bacteria
Description: bacterial SSU rRNA
Rfam family: Bacterial small subunit ribosomal RNA
Source: RNAcentral
AACGAACGCUGGCGGCAUGCCUAACACAUGCAAGUCGAACGGGAUCCGGACUUCGGUCCGGUGAGAGUGGCGGACGGGUGAGUAACACGUGGGAACCUGCCUUUUGGUUCGGGAUAACCGCGGGAAACUGCGGCUAAUACCGGAUGCUCCCGAGAGGGAAAAGAUUUAUCGCCAGAAGAGGGGCCCGCGUCCGAUUAGGUAGUUGGUGGGGUAAUGGCCUACCAAGCCGACGAUCAGUAGCUGGUCUGAGAGGAUGAUCAGCCACACUGGGACUGAGAUACGGCCCAGACUCCUACGGGAGGCAGCAGUGGGGAAUAUUGGACAAUGGGGGGCAACCCUGAUCCAGCAAUGCCGCGUGAGUGAUGAAGGCCUUAGGGUUGUAAAGCUCUUUUGUCAGGGACGAUGAUGACGGUACCUGACGAAUAAGCUCCGGCUAACUUCGUGCCAGCAGCCGCGGUAAU